GACGAACGCUGGCGGCGUGCCUAAUACAUGCAAGUUGAGCGCUGAAGGUUGGUACUUGUACCGACUGGAUGAGCAGCGAACGGGUGAGUAACGCGUGGGGAAUCUGCCUUUGAGCGGGGGACAACAUUUGGAAACGAAUGCUAAUACCGCAUAAAAACUUUAAACACAAGUUUUAAGUUUGAAAGAUGCAAUUGCAUCACUCAAAGACGAUCCCGGGUUGUAUUAGCUAGUUGGUGAGGUAAAGGCUCACCAAGGCGAUGAUACAUAGCCGACCUGAGAGGGUGAUCGGCCACAUUGGGACUGAGACACGGCCCAAACUCCUACGGGAGGCAGCAGUAGGGAAUCUUCGGCAAUGGACGAAAGUCUGACCGAGCAACGCCGCGUGAGUGAAGAAGGUUUUCGGAUCGUAAAACUCUGUUGGUAGAGAAGAACGUUGGUGAGAGUGGAAAGCUCAUCAAGUGACGGUAACUACCCAGAAAGGGACGGCUAACUACGUGCCAGCCGCCGCGGUAA
RNAcentral lists this ribosomal RNA (513 nucleotides) under uncultured bacterium. RNAcentral's name for it is "partial 16S ribosomal RNA". It matches the Rfam family "Bacterial small subunit ribosomal RNA", at positions 28 to 523 of the family's 1533-position model. The record is from RNAcentral.